Molecule: long non-coding RNA, 1784 nt
Organism: Mercenaria mercenaria
Lineage: Eukaryota; Metazoa; Mollusca; Bivalvia; Venerida; Veneridae
Exons: 3
Source: RefSeq, a predicted model, not a curated record
UUAAGAGAAAUGGCGCCACUGAAGGACAAUAGAAAGAACAUUCUGAUUUGGCGAACUAGUACUAAGUUAUAUUUAGAUACAUGCAAUUCUGUUUACCGCAUAAUAUGACUUGAUAAAUUAGCUACGAAAGCGUUUGUAAAAAUAUAUUGCCGACAUUGUAAAGAUAUUACCGCCUGUUUCAUAAUCUCUGUUAACUACUCUGCCUUUACCUUUUCCAAUGUUGCAAAUUCAAUCUAAUGUUAUUUUAAUUUUAAUUUCAUUUGAAAAGAUACAUUUUUCAGAACAACAUUUUUGCAUCUCACAACAAAAAAGGUGAAAUUUGACAUGGAACAAAGGACAUACAUUAUAUUUGGAAUGUUGAAUGUUGUAAACUAGUAAGUUUUUCCGUCUUCAAAAUUUAAAACUCUCUUGGAAAAUCUGUCUCAAGAUGGGAAAAAAAGAACAAUCCUAUUGUUUUCUCCUUGAGACAAAAAUGAUUAAGGAAACCAUGGAUGGUUAUUAUGAUAUUUACAAACAGGAAUAAUUUUGUUUUGAGAUACAUAGGUUUUAUGUUUUUUAACAGAAAGAAAAUGUGUUGGUACCGUGAUUCUGUCGCUUUGUGUAGCUGUGCUGGUCGUCUAUGCAGUUGUUACAACUAUUUUACUUGUCAGGAAACGACAAAACGGAAAACAGCGACAGGAAGUUACUUUACGUUCAAGGGAUGCAGUUGAAUAUAACCAUGAAACAGCAGCUUGUAGAAUUAUAGAAGACUCAGGUUAUGUGUAUGCAGAGCCAACUGAAGACCAGACUGAGGAAGGACCUUCAGUAAACACAGAACGCGGUGCAGUCGGCCGAGAAGGCAUCAGAACAAACAGUUACAUGUAUAUUCAUCCGAUAUAUUCUGUUUCGCAAAACACAAAUGAAUACGAAGAGAUUGAUAAUAAAAUGUUUCCGUCCGGAUCAAGUUUAAGGAAAAUGAAAACUGAUAAAAUUGCGUGAUAUUUCUAAAAAUGUUUAAUGGAACAAAUGUUCUAUUUUCACGUUAGAAAAUCGAUCAAUUUGUUUGUCUUUUUAUAUGAAUAUUUUAGAAACCAGACAACGGUCUUGUUUAGAAUAUGUUUCAUUUAUCUGUUUUACCAAAGAGGUAAAGGGAAAGAAUAUUGAUUCAAUUUAUCACUGAAAUAACGCUUUCAUAAAACCUCUUCCUCUUAUUUUAUCUCGCAAACGUGCUUGCUUGUGUGCAUAUCUGACAGGAUCUCUUUAUGCGUAUAUGUCAGAACCUACAAUAUAACUAACCGUGAUAUAGCUGACCAGUAGAUUCUCAUAACACUGGAUACAGGGUAUUACCGUAUUUGUUCAAAAGCUUCAUAGUAUGAAAUAUUGUUUUCGAUGUUAUCACAUUAGAGUAAGGAUAUAUUGUCGCAUCAUCUAAACGAGAAUUGUUUUAUACUUGCUCUGAGUAUUCAUGUGAUCAGGAGAAUCGUAAUAUGAAACGGAAAAAGACGCAUGUUCACAUAUCCAGUUGCGACCAUUUAUAUUUUUUGAAAAGACUGAGGGUAGAAAGUAACGCCUUGGAUAAAUAGUUGUAUGGAAAUAAAGAUGACACAGAUUUUAUACAGAAUAACUGUUUGACCUUAAACUUACUUUAAGACAAAACAAUGAAAAUAACUAAAAAGUAUCCGAUUUAAGAAUUCAUUUUAAUUUGAUUUUGUGGUUUACUUCAAUAUCAUAUGUAUUGUAUUCUCGAUAUUGACAGGAUACAAAAUUCGGUCCUUUUUAAUGUAAAAGUAUAAAAGAGAAAAGGA